This 291-nucleotide long non-coding RNA is filed under the name Eucalyptus grandis. Its description in RNAcentral is "long non-coding RNA (EGRA_LNC006667)". Lineage: Eukaryota; Viridiplantae; Streptophyta; Magnoliopsida; Myrtales; Myrtaceae. The record is from RNAcentral.
UAGCGGUGACCCAGACUGUGCCGACGGAAGUGGGAAAAACUACGCUAUUGAGGAUAAUAAAACACAACAGCUUCAAGCCGCUCAAGAUAAGGUUUCCGGCUUGAUGUGGUUUUUCAAUAGCAAUGUUGCUGGCAUUGGCAGAAACGACAGUGGAAUUGGGUAGGUGAUUUGAAGAGGAAUCUUGCCAGUAUCCUCCCGGAGGAGUGAAAGUGGCUUAAUAAGUGGCAGUCACGAUUAAGGUAGACACUACAAGGAGUAUUUUGCGAACAUUUGCAUUUUGGGUGCCAAAAU